CCUACGGGAGGCAGCAGUGGGGGAUAUUGGACAAUGGGGGGAACCCUGAUCCAGCGACGCCGCGUGAGUGAAGAAGUAUUUCGGUAUGUAAAGCUCUGUCAGCAGGGAAGAAAGAAAUGACGGUACCUGACCAAGAAGCCCCGGCUAACUACGGGCCAGCAGCCGCGGUAAUACGUAGGGGGCAAGCGUUAUCCGGAAUUACUGGGUGUAAGGGGAGCGUAGACGGUUAAGUAGGUCUGGAGGGAAAGGCCGGGGCCUAAACCCGGGACUGCUCUGGAAACUAUCGAACUUGAGUGGAGGAGAGGUAAGCGGAAUUCGUAGUGUAGCGGUGAAAUGCAUAGAUAUUAGGAGGAACACUAGUGGCGAAGGCGGCUUACUGGACUGUAACUGACGUUGAGGCUCGAAAGCGUGGGGAGCAAACAGGAUUAGAUACCCUAGUAGUC
RNAcentral lists this ribosomal RNA (443 nucleotides) under uncultured bacterium. Its description in RNAcentral is "partial 16S ribosomal RNA". It matches the Rfam family "Bacterial small subunit ribosomal RNA", at positions 338 to 795 of the family's 1533-position model. The record is from RNAcentral.